GCAAACUUGGUCAUUUAGAGGAAGUAAAAGUCGUAACAAGGUUUCCGUAGGUGAACCUGCGGAAGGAUCAUUAUCGUAGGGCUUCAGCCCUCGCGAGAUAGCACCCUUGAUUUUUCAUGAGCACCAUAUGUUUCCUCGGUAGGCUCGCCUGCCAAUGGGGACUUCUUGAAACCCUUCUGCAAUGAGCAGUGCUCUUGUCUGAUAAAGUAAGCAAAUGUAUCAAAACUUUCAACAAUGGAUCUCUUGGUUCUGGCAUCGAUGAAGAACGCAGC
This 272-nucleotide unclassified non-coding RNA is filed under the name uncultured fungus. Its description in RNAcentral is "partial contains small subunit ribosomal RNA, internal transcribed spacer 1, and 5.8S ribosomal RNA". The stretch from base 1 to 73 matches the Rfam family "Eukaryotic small subunit ribosomal RNA", at positions 1759 to 1831 of the family's 1831-position model. The record is from RNAcentral. Lineage: Eukaryota; Fungi.